AGCAGCCGCGGUAAUUCCAGCUCCAAUAGCGUAUAUUAAAGUUGUUGCAGUUAAAAAGCUCGUAGUUGAAUUUCGGGGUCAAUAAGUUGGUCAUGCCAAUGGUAUGCACUGGCUUUAUUGAUUCCUACCUCUUGACGAACUGUGAUGCCAUUAAUUUGGUGUUGCAAGGAAUCAGGACUGUUACCUUGAAAAAAUUAGAGUGUUUAAAGCAAGCUUACGCUUGAAUACAUUAGCAUGGAAUAAUGAAAUAGGACGUUUGAUCCUAUUUUGUUGGUUUCUAGGAUCGACGUAAUGAUUAAUAGGGAUAGUUGGGGGCAUUAGUAUUCAAUUGUCAGAGGUGAAAUUCUUGGAUUUAUUGAAGACUAACUACUGCGAAAGCAUUUGCCAAGGAUGUUUUCAUUAAUCAAGAACGAAAGUUAGGGGAUCGAAGACGAUCAGAUACCGUCGUAGUCUUAACCAUAAACUAUGCCGACUAGGGAU
This 480-nucleotide ribosomal RNA is filed under the name uncultured Glomus. RNAcentral's name for it is "SSU rRNA". It matches the Rfam family "Eukaryotic small subunit ribosomal RNA", at positions 569 to 1053 of the family's 1831-position model. Lineage: Eukaryota; Fungi; Glomeromycota; Glomeromycetes; Glomerales; Glomeraceae. The record is from RNAcentral.